AAUUGGAGGGCAAGUCUGGUGCCAGCAGCCGCGGUAAUUCCAGCUCCAAUAGCGUAUAUUAAAGUUGCUGCAGUUAAAAAGCUCGUAGUUGAAUUUCGGGAUCAAUAUUUCGGUCAUGCCGUUGGUAUGCACUGUUAUCAUUGAUUUCUCACCUUCUAAAGAACCGUAAUGCCAUUAAUUUGGUGUUACGGGGAAUUAGGACUGUUACCUUGAAAAAAUUAGAGUGUUUAAAGCAGGCUCACGCUUGAAUACAUUAGCAUGGAAUAAUGAAAUAGGACAUCCGAUUCUAUUUUGUUGGUUUCUAGGAUCGAUGUAAUGAUUAAUAGGGAUAGUUGGGGGCAUUAGUAUUCAAUUGUCAGAGGUGAAAUUCUUGGAUUUAUUGAAGACUAACUACUGCGAAAGCAUUUGCCAAGGAUGUUUUCAUUAAUCAAGAACGAAAGUUAGGGGAUCGAAGACGAUCAGAUACCGUCGUAGUCUUAACCAUAAACUAUGCCGACUAGGGAUCGGAUGAUGUUAAUUUUUUAAUGACUCAUUCGGCGCCUUACGGGAAACCAAAGUGU
This 560-nucleotide ribosomal RNA is filed under the name uncultured Glomus. RNAcentral describes it as "SSU rRNA". It matches the Rfam family "Eukaryotic small subunit ribosomal RNA", at positions 546 to 1106 of the family's 1831-position model. The record is from RNAcentral. Lineage: Eukaryota; Fungi; Glomeromycota; Glomeromycetes; Glomerales; Glomeraceae.